GCCUCGGUGGUGUAGUGGUAGCAUGCGCUCCACUAUGGGUGAAACGCGAGUUCAACUCCCGCUUGAGUUCACA
Parelaphostrongylus tenuis is the source of this 73-nucleotide non-coding RNA. The record is from the annotation of a GenBank genome assembly. NCBI's taxonomy places the organism in Eukaryota, Metazoa, Nematoda, Chromadorea, Rhabditida, Metastrongylidae.